AAAGGUUUAGUUUAAAUAAAACAUUAAUUUGUCAGGUUAAAAAUAUUAAUUUAAUUAAUAAUCUUUA
This 67-nucleotide transfer RNA is filed under the name Aeschrocoris ceylonicus. RNAcentral's name for it is "tRNA-Asp". Lineage: Eukaryota; Metazoa; Arthropoda; Insecta; Hemiptera; Pentatomidae. The record is from RNAcentral.